Molecule: transfer RNA, 69 nt
Filed under: Peromyscus crinitus
Lineage: Eukaryota; Metazoa; Chordata; Mammalia; Rodentia; Cricetidae
Description: tRNA-Thr
Rfam family: tRNA
About the family: Transfer RNA (tRNA) molecules are approximately 80 nucleotides in length. Their secondary structure includes four short double-helical elements and three loops (D, anti-codon, and T loops).
Source: RNAcentral
GCUCUUAUAGUAUAACUGAUUACAUUGGUCUUGUAAACCAAAAAUGAAGAGAAACUUCUUCUUAGAGCA